Long non-coding RNA from Musa acuminata AAA Group (dessert banana), 1713 nucleotides. RefSeq lists it as uncharacterized. Lineage: Eukaryota; Viridiplantae; Streptophyta; Magnoliopsida; Zingiberales; Musaceae. The transcript has 2 exons. The record is from RefSeq and is a predicted model, not a curated record.
AGAGGAAGAAGAGGGAGAAGAGAAUAAAAGAAGAGGAAGAAGAGAGGGAAGAGGGAGAGGAAAGAGAGAUAGCUGCAGCAGGGCUGCAGCACCUCUGUUUCGUGUAGGAGGAAACAGAGGAGUUCAUGUGUGGGGCGUCGGGGAGGAGAAGGGAAGAAGAGGAGAAGAAGAAGAAGAAAAGAGGAGGUGGCUACGGCAAGGGCUGCAGCGAGGAGCUGUGGGGCGUUGGGGAGGAGAAAGGAAGAAGAGGAGAAGAAGAAAAGAAGAAGAAGAGGGAAAAGAAGAGAGGAGGAAGAAGAGGGAGAAGAGAAGAAUAGAAGAACAAAAAAAGAGAGAGGGAAGUGGGAGAGGAGCGAGAGGUGGCAGCAGCUAGGGCUGCAGCGCCUCUGUUUCCUGCAGGCGGAAACAGAGGAGACGAGGUGUGGGGUGUUGGAGAGGAGAAGAAGAAGAAGAGGAAAAAGAAGAAGAGAAAAAGAAAAAAAAGAAGGAUGGCUGCGGCAUGGGCUGCAGUGAGAAGGUGUGGGGUGUCGGGUAGGAGAAGGGAAGAAGAGGAGAAGAAGAAGAAGAGGAAAAGAAGAAGUAGAAGCGGGUGAAGAGGCGGCACCUCUGUUUCCUGCAGGAGGAAACAGAGGAAAGGAGGUGCUGUUCAUCGGGGAGAAGAAGGGGAGGAAGGAGAAGAAGAGAAGAAGAAGAAAGGAAGGAGAAGGAAGAGGAGAAGGGAAAGAAGUAUCUGCGGCUGCGGCUGUGGCAGCUGCAGCUGUGGCAGGGAAAGAGGAAGAGGAAGGAAGAAGGGAAGGAGAGGAAGAAGAGAAGGGGAAGAAGGGGCUGCGGCUGCGGCGAUGGCAGCUGCAGUUGGAAGAGAAGAAGGAGAGGAAGAUGAGCAGGGGAGGAAGAAGAGGCUGUGGCCGUGGCUGAGGCUGUGACUGCAGCAGUGCAGCUGGGAAAGAAGAGAAGGAAAGGAAGAAGAAGAGAAAGGAAAAGGGAAGAAGAGAGGAAGAGGAGAAGGGGAGGCAGCUGCGGCAGUGGCAGCUGCAGCUGGAAGAGAAGGAGAGGAAGAUAAGCAGGGGAGGAAGAAGAGGCUGCGGUUGUGGUGACUGCGGCCAUGGCUGCGACUGCGACUGCGGCAGUUGCAGCUGGGAAAGAAAAGAAAGGAAAGGGGGAAAAAGGGGCUGCGGACGGGAUUCCGGCCGCGGCGGCAGCGACUGCGUAUCCAGCAGCUGUGUCUGCAAAAGAAGGGGAGGAAGAAGGCAGUGUGGUGGAAGGGGCGGUGACUAUGGCAGCGAUAGCGGCGGUGGCUGUGGUAGCUACGUUUGGGAAAGAAAACGAAGGAAUGAGAGUAAGAGAGAGCAAGUGAUUAUGCCUCUAUAUUCUGCAUGAGCUACAGUUGUGGAGGAAAAAGAGAAGACAUGUAGAAAACGAAACAGGGAGAGGACACGGAGGAAAAGUCGAAGGAUUUGGGACACCUUUGGAUCUUCGGAUCAAAAUAUUUGAAAGGUCAGCUUGUCACUCUUUGAGAUGUUUGAAUUGGGCCGAGGCAGUGGAGAGCUAUUCAGAAUUAUGGGCAAGUCUUGUUGGUUAUUAUGUUAUUAUUAUAUAAGUAUAUUUUGUAUGUAAUGAAAUGUUGUCGAUGAACCGAAAUGAAUAUACCUUGUAAAAGUAUUAAAAGAUCUCUCUUAUUUGGAAUUUCGGAAUGUUAAGUCUAGUUUACGAUGA